Molecule: ribosomal RNA, 440 nt
Filed under: uncultured bacterium
Lineage: Bacteria
Description: bacterial SSU rRNA
Rfam family: Bacterial small subunit ribosomal RNA
Source: RNAcentral
CCUACGGGGGGCAGCAGUGGGGAAUAUUGCACAAUGGGGGAAACCCUGAUGCAGCAACGCCGCGUGAGCGAUGAAGGCCUUCGGGUCGUAAAUCUCUGUCCUAAGGGGCGAGUACUGACGGUACAUUAGGAGGGAGCUUGGGCGAACUACGUGCCAGCAGCCGGGGUAAUACGUGGGGGGCUAGCGUUGUCCGGAAUUACUGGGCGUAAAGGGUGCGUAGGCGGGCCUUAAAGUCAGAGGUGAAGGGCUACGGCUCAACCGUAGUAAGCCUUUGAAACUGUAGGGCUAGAGUGCAGGAGAGGAGAGUGGAAUUCCCAGUGUAGCGGUGAAAUGCGUAGAUAUUGGGAGGAACACCAGUUGCGAAGGCGGCUCUCUGGACUGUAACUGACGCUGAGGCACGAAAGCGUGGGGAGCGAACAGGAUUAGAUACCCUUGUAGUC